GAUGAACGCUGGCGGUAUGCUUAACACAUGCAAGUCGAACGGUCUUUUAGGAGAUAGUGGCGGACGGGUGAGUAACACGUGAGAACCUACCUUCAGAAUGGGGAUAACAGUUGGAAACGACUGCUAAUACCCGAUGUGCCGAAAGGUGAAAGAUUUAUCGUCUGAAGAUGGGCUCGCGGCUGAUUAGCUAGUUGGAAGUGUAAGAGACUCCCAAGGCGACGAUCAGUAACUGGUCUGAGAGGAUGAGCAGUCACACUGGAACUGAGAAACGGUCCAGACUCCUACGGGAGGCAGCAGUGGGGAAUUUUCCGCAAUGGGCGAAAGCCUGACGGAGCAAUACCGCGUGAGGGAGGAAGGUUCUUGGAUUGUAAACCUCUUUUCUAGGGGAAUAAAAAAAUGAAGGUACCCUAGGAAUAAGCAUCGGCUAACUCCGUGCCAGCAGCCGCGGUAAUACGGAGGAUGCAAGCGUUAUCCGGAAUUAUUGGGCGUAAAGAGUCCGUAGGUGGAAGUUCAAGUCUGUCGUUAAAGAAUGGAGCUUAACUCCAUAAAGGCGGUGGAAACUGAGCAACUAGAGUGCGGUAGGGGUAACGGGAAUUCCCAGUGUAGCGGUGAAAUGCGUAGAUAUUGGGAAGAACAUCGGUGGCGAAAGCGCGUUACUGGGCCGAAACUGACACUGAGGGACGAAAGCUAGGGUAGCGAAAGGGAUUAGAUACCCCUGUAGUCCUAGCCGUAAACGAUGGAUACUAGGCGUAGC
RNAcentral lists this ribosomal RNA (754 nucleotides) under uncultured cyanobacterium. RNAcentral describes it as "bacterial SSU rRNA". It matches the Rfam family "Bacterial small subunit ribosomal RNA", at positions 28 to 826 of the family's 1533-position model. Lineage: Bacteria; Bacillati; Cyanobacteriota. The record is from RNAcentral.